RNAcentral lists this unclassified non-coding RNA (264 nucleotides) under Rhodotorula sp. RNAcentral's name for it is "partial contains small subunit ribosomal RNA, internal transcribed spacer 1, and 5.8S ribosomal RNA". The stretch from base 1 to 46 matches the Rfam family "Eukaryotic small subunit ribosomal RNA", at positions 1786 to 1831 of the family's 1831-position model. The record is from RNAcentral. Lineage: Eukaryota; Fungi; Basidiomycota; Microbotryomycetes; Sporidiobolales; Sporidiobolaceae.
AAGUCGUAACAAGGUUUCCGUAGGUGAACCUGCGGAAGGAUCAUUAGUGAAUUUUAGGGUGCUUUGCUUUACUGCGAAGGCCUGACCUCCACUCUCUAACCCAUUGUGCAUCAUAAAUACAACUGAACUGUGAUAGAUUGAAAGAGCUUCGUCGCUUGAUUACAUUUUUUCACAGUGAGGUUUCACCUUUCUAAACACCAAGUCAAAGAAUGUAAUACAAACCAAAACAAAAUAAAACUUUCAACAACGGAUCUCUUGGCUCUC